CUUAUCACUUUGCACGACCAAGACUCUGAAAAACAGAGAGAAAAGAAAACCAAAAACCAUUUCUUGGCUGGUUUGAAGAAAUUCUAAGGAGAUCCAAGUGAAAUCAAAGCCAAAAAGUGGAUUAAGCUUUGUUCUAGCCUUUUUAUGGAUAAUCACAUCAACACCUAAGACACCACUUGUUACACGGUGAAUUAUAUUUUGGACAGAAGGUAGAGAAAGAAAUGAGUGAAUGACAUAAGGAGAACUGAAGCAUGGUCCUGGCCCUGAAUUGUACAUAUGAACAUAUCGACCUUUUUGUGGGUUAUUUCAGUUAUCAGUGUGAUGUUUGUAAUAAAGUGUGAAGUUAUGUUUUGAAAACAUAUUUGGUUAUUUAAUACUUAUGUAUAAUAAG
Humulus lupulus (European hop) is the source of this 391-nucleotide long non-coding RNA. RefSeq lists it as uncharacterized. The record is from RefSeq and is a predicted model, not a curated record. The transcript has 3 exons. NCBI's taxonomy places the organism in Eukaryota, Viridiplantae, Streptophyta, Magnoliopsida, Rosales, Cannabaceae.